This 244-nucleotide non-coding RNA is filed under the name Streptomyces sp. M41(2017). Its description in RNAcentral is "Streptomyces sRNA 4677". It matches the Rfam family "Streptomyces sRNA 4677". Rfam says of the family: Located in the intergenic region between anti-sigma factor SCO4677 gene and a putative regulatory protein gene SCO4676. scr4677 expression requires the SCO4677 activity and scr4677 sRNA itself seem to affect the levels of the SCO4676-associated transcripts. The record is from Rfam by way of RNAcentral. Lineage: Bacteria; Bacillati; Actinomycetota; Actinomycetes; Kitasatosporales; Streptomycetaceae.
UGCUGCGGUGCCGGGAACGGUCUUUCCCGAGGAACACAAAGGUGAAAUGACCCGGCCAAGCCCCACCCCACCCGCUCCCGGCGACGCACUCACUCGCGCGAGUGAACAUCACCGACUCGGCUGGAUUCGUGGGCGGUUGGCUGCCCUACGCUCGGCGCAACACAACAGCAGACAUGCGACGGCCCUCGCCGGGACGCCAAUCCCAGUGCGAGGGCCUGACCACCGAGGAAGUAGGAGCUUCCCG